Molecule: long non-coding RNA, 1759 nt
Organism: Globicephala melas (long-finned pilot whale)
Lineage: Eukaryota; Metazoa; Chordata; Mammalia; Artiodactyla; Delphinidae
Source: RefSeq, a predicted model, not a curated record
CGCAGCCCGCCGAGGCGCAGAGCCGCGCGCAGGCUGCACCUUGGCGCCUCCUCCCCCUCCCCGGACACACAGACGCACACGCAUAAACAAAUCCUGUCCUCCCUCCCCUGAUAUCCUCUUCUCCCCUUCGGGUGUUAAAAAGCAAAUCGGAUCAAUUUUCGUUUAACCCAGUGGAACACCAGAGGCUCGCCAUCCCGGGAGUUUGCGUCUUUGCGCCCCGCCGCGGCGCACUGUAGACCUUGGGUUAAGUCCCAUUUGUCAUUUUCUCCUCCAAAGGCUUCCUCCUGGUACUUUAUUUUUCUAAUCCGUGGUGGAUGGAGGAAGGUGGAUGGCGAAACAGAGCUGAAAGAGCUUUCAGUUCUAAUAUUUGCGUAAUCGGCCAGGUCACAUUCAUUUCAGCAUCCAGCCCCACUUCUGGUGGCUUCCCCAGCGACCUAAGGACAAUACAGACGGAGAUGUGGAGGGGGAGGACAACUGGAUACAGUUUCCUGGGACUUCUCCUUAUUGCUCUUCUGGAUUGAAUCCCUUGCUUUCUGGAUCCUGUGUGUUCCUCUUUCUUGUUUUACAUUUGCUACCUAAACAAAAGCCCAGCUGCAAUGCUGUAAGGGAGUCCAAGCCAUCCUGCUGGAGGGAGAGAUCAUAUGAAGAAACCAGCACAUGGAGAGAGAAAAAAGCCACCCGGAGUAGCACCGGGCCAUUGGACAGGGACCUGGGAACCAUCUCUUUGAAACGCCAGGCUUGAGGAAGAUGGUGCCCUUAUCUCCCUGUUUCUCUGGGAGGACAGACGCCUCCAAGCUGCAAAACUACCUCCUGUCAUAAAGAUUUCCCACGUUUCCCACUUUUCAGAUGUCUCCUGGUGGAAGCAUCUUUUCUCAAGCUUUGGGAAACUUGAGGACCUGUGACAUUAUGGAACCAGGAACUUAAGCCAGUGAGGCUUUUCCCAAGGGACGUAUUGAGAACUGAGCUGCCCUGAGCUGUUGACAUUUAGACAAAAAGCAGAGAAGGGGCGGCAAGGAGAGUCCAGAAGCAGGGAUAUGCACCUGGGCUGAUGUCAGAGCCUGGUCCAGACCCCAAGUUACAGGCCUGCCGAAAGACUGGAGAGAGCGGGGUUGAGAGGUUUUGAACAUACAGGAUUGCCUUCCAAAUACAUCCUCAGGCAAGAGAAGUAAGAUGCCAGAAACUCAUAUUAGGAAGCAAAAGAACUUCGAAAAGCUAUAACGCUGUGGGGGAAUUUUAAACAUUCACAUUUCCUAAACUAGUCUUUCUUCUGAGAAAUGACUUGUCUUUCAAAACCAUAUGGCAGGAGCACACUCAACGUAUAAUAAAAUCCUUGGUUUUGGUAAUUAUGAUGAAGCUGUCGCAGUGUUAAAUGAUGCCACCUGAUGGAUUGUGAACACGCAAGUGCCACCAUCAGCAAUAGCUGGGAGUUUAUUAUUUUUAACAAUCUCUGAAGGCCUGAGAAGGAAUGAAGCAAGUGCCAACGGUUGCUCUUGGCCAGCUUACGGCUCAGAGAAGAAAGAGGGAAUGAGGAGGAGGGCGAGGAGGAGGAGAAACAGGAUAAAGAGAAGAAAAUAAUAUGGAGAGGGGGCAGAAGAGAAUCUAUUUUUUUCUUUUGAUAAAAGUCAUUAUACUGUCAACAGAAGGUACUUUAAGUAGAGACUUGAUUUUUCAUGGAGCAGACACAGUUUGCGUGAAGAGACGGUCAUCUGUUGAGUGCCACCUCCUGGUACAAUCCCCUUUUGGAGCUAAGGGGUCAACA